Molecule: ribosomal RNA, 463 nt
Filed under: uncultured bacterium
Lineage: Bacteria
Description: partial 16S ribosomal RNA
Rfam family: Bacterial small subunit ribosomal RNA
Source: RNAcentral
GACGAACGCUGGCGGCGUGCUUAACACAUGCAAGUCGAACGGAAAGGCCUUUUCGGAGGUACUCGAGUGGCGAACGGGUGAGUAACACGUGGGUGAUCUGCCCUGCACUCUGGGAUAAGCGUGGGAAACUGGGUCUAAUACCGGAUAGGACCGCACUUUAGUGUGUGUGGUGGAAAGUUUUUUCGGUGUAGGAUGAGCCCGCGGCCUAUAAGCUUGUUGGUGGGGUAAUGGCCUACCAAGGCGGCGACAGGCAGCACGACUCUGAGGUUGGGCGGCGACACUGGGACUGAGAGGCGGCACAGACGCCGACGGGAGGCAGCAGUGGGGAAGAUUGCACAAUGGGCGCAGGCCUGAUGCAGCGACGCCGCGUGUGGGAUGACGGCCUUCGUGUUGAAAACUCCUUUCGCCAGGGACGAUGCGUUUUGUGACGGUACCUGGAGAAGAAGCACCGACUAACUACGUG